This 490-nucleotide ribosomal RNA is filed under the name uncultured bacterium. Its description in RNAcentral is "bacterial SSU rRNA". It matches the Rfam family "Bacterial small subunit ribosomal RNA", at positions 29 to 495 of the family's 1533-position model. The record is from RNAcentral.
AACGAACGCUAGCGGCGCGUUUCAAGCAUGCAAGUCGAACGAUAAUAGGCCGUGUUCUUCGGAACAUAGCUUAGGAAAGUGGCGAACGGGUGAGUAACACGUGGAUAAUCUGCCCUGUGGUUUGGGAUAGCUGGUGGAAACACUAGGUAAUACCGGAUACACUUUUUGCACACAAGUGCAAAAAGAAAGGAUGCAAUUGCACCGCCAUGGGAUGAGUCUGCGGCCUACUAGUUUGUUGGUGAGGUAAUGGCUCACCAAGACCAUAAUAGGUAGCCGGCCUGAGAGGGUGAUCGGCCACACUGGGGACUGAGACACUGCCCAGACUUCUACGGAAGGCAGCAGCUAAGAAUCUUCCGCAAUGGGCGCAAGCCUGACGGAGCGACGCCGCGUGUGUGAUGAAGGCCGUGAGGUUGUAAAACACUUUUCUCGCUGAAGAAUAAGCUUGGGAGGAAAUGCCCAAGUGAUGACAUUAAGCGAGGAAUAAGCCCGG